RNAcentral lists this ribosomal RNA (374 nucleotides) under uncultured eukaryote. RNAcentral describes it as "SSU rRNA". It matches the Rfam family "Eukaryotic small subunit ribosomal RNA", at positions 587 to 996 of the family's 1831-position model. The record is from RNAcentral.
AGCUCCAAUAGCGUAUAUUAAAGUUGUUGCGUUUAAGAAGCUCGUAGUUGGAUUUCUGCCGAGGACGACUGGUCCGCCCUCUGGGUGAGUAUCUAGUUCGGCCUGGGCAUCUUCUUGGAGAACGUAGCUGCACUUGAUUGUGUGGAAAUUAGAGUGUUUCAAGCAGGCACACGCCUUGAAUACAUUAGCAUGGAAUAUAAAGAUAGGACUUCGGUUCUAUUUUGUUGGUCUCUAGAGCUGAAGUAAUGAUUAAUAAGGAUAUUUGGGGGCAUUCGUAUUUAGCUGUCAGAGGUGAAAUUCUUGGAUUUGUCAAAGACGGAAUACUGCGAAAGCAUUUGCCAAGGAUGUUUUUAUUGAUCAAGAACGGUUAAGAC